GGUUAAGCGACUAAGCGUACACGGUGGAUGCCCUGGCAGUCAGAGGCGAUGAAGGACGUGCUAAUCUGCGAAAAGCGUCGGUAAGGUGAUAUGAACCGUUACAGCCGGCGAUGUCCGAAUGGGGAAACCCAGUGCAAUUCGUUGCACUAUCGUUAACUGAAUACAUAGGUUAACGAGGCGAACCGGGGGAACUGAAACAUCUAAGUACCCCGAGGAAAAGAAAUCAACCGAGAUUCCCCCAGUAGCGGCGAGCGAACGGGGAGCAGCCCAGAGUCUGAAUCAGCUUGUGUGUUAGUGGAACGGUCUGGAAAGUCCGACGGUACAGGGUGAUAGUCCCGUACACCAAAAUGCACAGGUUGUGAACUCGAAGAGUAGGGCGGGACACGUGGUAUCCUGUCUGAAUAUGGGGGGACCAUCCUCCAAGGCUAAAUACUCCUGACUGACCGAUAGUGAACCAGUACCGUGAGGGAAAGGCGAAAAGAACCCCGGCGAGGGGAGUGAAAAAGAACCUGAAACCGUGUACGUACAAGCAGUGGGAGCACCUUCGGGUGUGACUGCGUACCUUUUGUAUAAUGGGUCAGCGACUUAUAUUCUGUAGCAAGGUUAACCGUAUAGGGGAGCCGCAGGGAAACCGAGUCUUAACUGGGCGUUAAGUUGCAGGGUAUAGACCCGAAACCCGGUGAUCUAGCCAUGGGCAGGUUGAAGGUUGGGUAACACUAACUGGAGGACCGAACCGACUAAUGUUGAAAAAUUAGCGGAUGACUUGUGGCUGGGGGUGAAAGGCCAAUCAAACCGGGAGAUAGCUGGUUCUCCCCGAAAGCUAUUUAGGUAGCGCCUCGUGAACUCAUCUUCGGGGGUAGAGCACUGUUUCGGCUAGGGGGUCAUCCCGACUUACCAACCCGAUGCAAACUACGAAUACCGAAGAAUGUUAUCACGGGAGACACACGGCGGGUGCUAACGUCCGUCGUGAAGAGGGAAACAACCCAGACCGCCAGCUAAGGUCCCAAAGUCAUGGUUAAGUGGGAAACGAUGUGGGAAGGCACAGACAGCCAGGAUGUUGGCUUAGAAGCAGCCAUCAUUUAAAGAAAGCGUAAUAGCUCACUGGUCGAGUCGGCCUGCGCGGAAGAUGUAACGGGGCUAAACCAUGCACCGAAGCUGCGGCAGCGACACUAUGUGUUGUUGGGUAGGGGAGCGUUCUGUAAGCCUGCGAAGGUGGCCUGUGAGGGUUGCUGGAGGUAUCAGAAGUGCGAAUGCUGACAUAAGUAACGAUAAAGCGGGUGAAAAGCCCGCUCGCCGGAAGACCAAGGGUUCCUGUCCAACGUUAAUCGGGGCAGGGUGAGUCGACCCCUAAGGCGAGGCCGAAAGGCGUAGUCGAUGGGAAACAGGUUAAUAUUCCUGUACUUGGUGUUACUGCGAAGGGGGGACGGAGAAGGCUAUGUUAGCCGGGCGACGGUUGUCCCGGUUUAAGCAUGUAGGCGGAGGUUCCAGGUAAAUCCGGUACCUUUUAACGCUGAGGUGUGAUGACGAGGCACUACGGUGCUGAAGUAACAAAUGCCCUGCUUCCAGGAAAAGCCUCUAAGCAUCAGGUAACAUUGAAUCGUACCCCAAACCGACACAGGUGGUCAGGUAGAGAAUACCAAGGCGCUUGAGAGAACUCGGGUGAAGGAACUAGGCAAAAUGGUGCCGUAACUUCGGGAGAAGGCACGCUGGUGUGUAGGUGAAGUCCCUGCGGAUGGAGCUGAGACCAGUCGAAGAUACCAGCUGGCUGCAACUGUUUAUUAAAAACACAGCACUGUGCAAACACGAAAGUGGACGUAUACGGUGUGACGCCUGCCCGGUGCCGGAAGGUUAAUUGAUGGGGUUAUCCGUAAGGAGAAGCUCUUGAUCGAAGCCCCGGUAAACGGCGGCCGUAACUAUAACGGUCCUAAGGUAGCGAAAUUCCUUGUCGGGUAAGUUCCGACCUGCACGAAUGGCGUAAUGAUGGCCAGGCUGUCUCCACCCGAGACUCAGUGAAAUUGAACUCGCUGUGAAGAUGCAGUGUACCCGCGGCAAGACGGAAAGACCCCGUGAACCUUUACUAUAGCUUGACACUGAACAUUGAGCCUUGAUGUGUAGGAUAGGUGGGAGGCUUUGAAGCGUGGACGCCAGUCUGCGUGGAGCCAACCUUGAAAUACCACCCUUUAAUGUUUGAUGUUCUAACGUUGGCCCCUUAUCGGGGUUGCGGACAGUGUCUGGUGGGUAGUUUGACUGGGGCGGUCUCCUCCCAAAGAGUAACGGAGGAGCACGAAGGUUAGCUAAUCCUGGUCGGACAUCAGGAGGUUAGUGCAAUGGCAUAAGCUAGCUUGACUGCGAGCGUGACGGCGCGAGCAGGUGCGAAAGCAGGUCAUAGUGAUCCGGUGGUUCUGAAUGGAAGGGCCAUCGCUCAACGGAUAAAAGGUACUCCGGGGAUAACAGGCUGAUACCGCCCAAGAGUUCAUAUCGACGGCGGUGUUUGGCACCUCGAUGUCGGCUCAUCACAUCCUGGGGCUGAAGUAGGUCCCAAGGGUAUGGCUGUUCGCCAUUUAAAGUGGUACGCGAGCUGGGUUUAGAACGUCGUGAGACAGUUCGGUCCCUAUCUGCCGUGGGCGCUGGAGAAUUGAGGGGGGCUGCUCCUAGUACGAGAGGACCGGAGUGGACGCAUCACUGGUGUUCGGGUUGUCAUGCCAAUGGCACUGCCCGGUAGCUAAAUGCGGAAGAGAUAAGUGCUGAAAGCAUCUAAGCACGAAACUUGCCCCGAGAUGAGUUCUCCCUGAGACUUUAAGUCUCCUGAAGGAACGUUGAAGACGACGACGUUGAUAGGCCGGGUGUGUAAGCGCAGCGAUGCGUUGAGCUAACCGGUACUAAUGAACCGUGAGGCUUAACCUU
Molecule: ribosomal RNA, 2904 nt
Filed under: Klebsiella variicola
Lineage: Bacteria; Pseudomonadati; Pseudomonadota; Gammaproteobacteria; Enterobacterales; Enterobacteriaceae
Description: 23S ribosomal RNA
Rfam family: Bacterial large subunit ribosomal RNA
Source: RNAcentral